This 433-nucleotide ribosomal RNA is filed under the name uncultured bacterium. RNAcentral describes it as "partial 16S ribosomal RNA". It matches the Rfam family "Bacterial small subunit ribosomal RNA", at positions 29 to 507 of the family's 1533-position model. The record is from RNAcentral.
AACGAACGCUGGCGGCAUGCCUAACACAUGCAAGUCGAACGAGACCUUCGGGUCUAGUGGCGCACGGGUGCGUCACGCGUGGGAACCUGCCCUUAGGUUCGGAAUAACUCCCCGAAAGGGGUGCUAAUAUCGGAUAAUGUCUUCGGACCAAAGAUUUAUCGCCUUUGGAUGGGCCCGCGUUGGACUAGCUGGGUGGUAGGGUAAAAGCCUACCAAGGAGACGUUCCAUAGCUGGUCUGAGAGAAUGCUACGCCACACUGGGGCUGAGACACGGCCCAGACUCCUACGCGAGGCAGCAGUGGGGAAUAUUGGACAAUGGGCUGAAGCCUGAACCAGCAAUGCCGCGUGAGUGAUGAAGUCCUUAGAGUUGUAAAGCUCUUUUACCCGGGAUGAUAAUGACAGUACCGGGAGAAUAAGCUCCGGCUAACUCCGUG